GGAAGGAAACCUGAGCCCCCACCCACCUUCU
This 31-nucleotide non-coding RNA is filed under the name Rattus norvegicus (Norway rat). Lineage: Eukaryota; Metazoa; Chordata; Mammalia; Rodentia; Muridae. The record is from RNAcentral.